Molecule: ribosomal RNA, 253 nt
Filed under: uncultured bacterium
Lineage: Bacteria
Description: partial 16S ribosomal RNA
Rfam family: Bacterial small subunit ribosomal RNA
Source: RNAcentral
UACAGAGGGUGCAAGCGUUGCUCGGAUUUACUGGGCGUAAAGCGUACGCAGACGGCAAGGUCGGUCGGAUGUGAAAGCCCAGGGCUCAACCCUGGAAAUGCAUCCGAAACCUCCUUGCUCGAGUAUGAGAGAGGAAAGCGGAAUUCCUGGUGUAGAGGUGAAAUUCGUAGAUAUCAGGAGGAACAUCGGCGGCGAAGGCGGCUUUCUGGCUCAUUACUGACGUUCAGGUACGAAAGCGUGGGUAGCAAACAGG